Molecule: long non-coding RNA, 1152 nt
Filed under: Anser brachyrhynchus (Pink-footed goose)
Lineage: Eukaryota; Metazoa; Chordata; Aves; Anseriformes; Anatidae
Description: lncRNA (ENSABRG00000005681.1)
Source: RNAcentral
GAUAGCUUUGGCUUCUGCAGUUGUGCAGGAUCCUUGAAAAGCAGUGUUCAGCUUUUUUGGUUUUGUGUGGUUUUGCCUUUCUUCGCUCUCUUGGUUUGCUGUCAGCACCAGGGCUGCUGGUGAGCUGGGUGGUGGUGGUGGUGGUGAGCCAAGCUGAUGAGCAAAAUCACUUUGUACCAACUUCAGGGCAACUGUUCCCAAAUUGUCUCCCAGUGGCUGUUCUGUGUGGGACCAAAACCAGUUCCCAGCCAGAGCCAGCAGCAGCAGGAGAUUUAAAGCCAGGAGGAAGCAGCCUCUGUUUGGGGAUGCUCAGAGACAGGCCGUGGGUUUAGCAGCCCUUGGUACAUCUCCUCCUGCCCUCCUCCUUGAUUUGUUCCUUUCUGUGUCAGCUCCCCUGAGGGCUGUGGUGCUUCUGGCUGCCGGAUUCAGUCAUUGUGUGGUUAACCGGCGUGGUGCUUAAGCAAGCGUGAAAAACAGGAUGUCUUAAAGUAUGAGAUGUGAAAGGUGGCAUGAAUACCAUCAGCCCAAACAUCCCUGGAGAAAGGACAGGACCCAUGUCUGGCACGUGCCACCUGGGUUUACAUGAAAAGCAGCACAAGGCACUUGCCACAGCACCUCUGAUGUGCAGAGGGUGAUGUGUCCAUACCCAAGACAUCACAGGACCCAGGGGUGAACCUUGAAUUGAGGUACAUGCCCAGACAUCAGGGGUUAUGCAGAAUUUCCAGUCCACACCACUACCUGGGCUGACGGACUGCAUGGAGAAGACCUUGCACCUGAGCUGCAGAGGGUCUGGAAAUGGUCGGUGCUGACAGCCAGGUCAUCCCCCAGGUUGGAUUUUCUUUACCAGCGUGGCCUUUGCAGGAGCCAGGAGGAACACACAGGCCAUGGAAUGGGGCAUGGUGUGACAACAGGAUGGAUGUCCCUGCUUCCUCUGCGGAGGUUAUGAAGGGCAGAAGCUGGAUCAUCCAGCUCUCCCAGAUGUGACUUUUCCAGGAUGCUGGAGUCUUCUUCAGGACACUUCCUCUCUCGCCAAACCAUACCUUCCUAAGGACACCUCAGAUUUGAUACAUCACUUCCUAUCUUUUAAACAGAUGUUAAUAUCCAAAAAGAUUUUCCUUUCUAUUCCGACUGGUGAAGCAUGGUUUCUUCCUG